AGGGGUAUAGCUCAGUUGGUAGAGCGGCGGUCUCCAAAACCGCAGGUCGUGGGUUCGAUCCCCUCUGCUCCUG
This 73-nucleotide transfer RNA is filed under the name Candidatus Liberibacter solanacearum. Its description in RNAcentral is "tRNA-Trp". It matches the Rfam family "tRNA". Rfam says of the family: Transfer RNA (tRNA) molecules are approximately 80 nucleotides in length. Their secondary structure includes four short double-helical elements and three loops (D, anti-codon, and T loops). Further hydrogen bonds mediate the characteristic L-shaped molecular structure. tRNAs have two regions of fundamental functional importance: the anti-codon, which is responsible for specific mRNA codon recognition, and the 3' end, to which the tRNAs corresponding amino acid is attached (by aminoacyl-tRNA synthetases). tRNAs cope with the degeneracy of the genetic code in two manners: having more than one tRNA (with a specific anti-codon) for a particular amino acid; and 'wobble' base-pairing, i.e. permitting non-standard base-pairing at the 3rd anti-codon position. The record is from RNAcentral. Lineage: Bacteria; Pseudomonadati; Pseudomonadota; Alphaproteobacteria; Hyphomicrobiales; Rhizobiaceae.